CGCACAUUGCGCCCCUUGGUAUCCCGGGGGGCAUGCCUGUUCGAGCGUCAUUUCAGCCCAUCAAGCAUCAGCUUGGCAUUGAGGUUUUUUACCCUUUGUAACAAAAAUGGUAGACUUCUAAAUAUGUUAGCAGUUCAAAAGUUGAACUCUAAGUGUUUCAAGAAAUUAUUUUUCCUCACUUCAAGAGCUACUACUAUAAAACUUUGCUUCCAAUACCCCAAAUAUCUCAAGGUUGACCUCGGAUCAGGUAAGGAUACCCGCUGAACUUAA
Molecule: unclassified non-coding RNA, 270 nt
Filed under: Trichophyton simii
Lineage: Eukaryota; Fungi; Ascomycota; Eurotiomycetes; Onygenales; Arthrodermataceae
Description: partial contains 5.8S ribosomal RNA, internal transcribed spacer 2, and large subunit ribosomal RNA
Source: RNAcentral